Molecule: ribosomal RNA, 484 nt
Filed under: uncultured bacterium
Lineage: Bacteria
Description: bacterial SSU rRNA
Rfam family: Bacterial small subunit ribosomal RNA
Source: RNAcentral
GAUGAACGCUAGCGGCAGGCUUAAUACAUGCAAGUCGAGGGGCAGCGCGGGUAGCAAUACCUGGCGGCGACCGGCAAACGGGUGCGGAACACGUACGCAACCUUCCCAAAACUGGGGAAUAGCCCUCCGAAAGGAGGAUUAAUACCCCGUAACAUAACGAAGUGGCAUCACUUUGUUAUUAUAGUUCCGACGGUUUUGGAUGGGCGUGCGCCUGAUUAGGUAGUUGGCGGGGUAACGGCCCACCAAGCCUGCGAUCAGUAACUGGUGUGAGAGCACGACCAGUCACACGGGCACUGAGACACGGGCCCGACUCCUACGGGAGGCAGCAGUAAGGAAUAUUGGUCAAUGGACGCAAGUCUGAACCAGCCAUGCCGCGUGAAGGAUGAAGGUCCUCUGGAUUGUAAACUUCUUUUAUAUGGGACGAAAAAAGGGCAUUCUUGCUCACUUGACGGUACCAUAGGAAUAAGCACCGGCUAACUCCGUG